AGAUAAUUAGUCUAAAAAAAACGUUUGAUUUCGGCUCAAAAACUUAUGGUUAAACUCCAUAAUUAUCUU
Molecule: transfer RNA, 69 nt
Filed under: Variola louti (yellow-edged lyretail)
Lineage: Eukaryota; Metazoa; Chordata; Actinopteri; Perciformes; Serranidae
Description: tRNA-Arg
Rfam family: tRNA
About the family: Transfer RNA (tRNA) molecules are approximately 80 nucleotides in length. Their secondary structure includes four short double-helical elements and three loops (D, anti-codon, and T loops). Further hydrogen bonds mediate the characteristic L-shaped molecular structure. tRNAs have two regions of fundamental functional importance: the anti-codon, which is responsible for specific mRNA codon recognition, and the 3' end, to which the tRNAs corresponding amino acid is attached (by aminoacyl-tRNA synthetases). tRNAs cope with the degeneracy of the genetic code in two manners: having more than one tRNA (with a specific anti-codon) for a particular amino acid; and 'wobble' base-pairing, i.e. permitting non-standard base-pairing at the 3rd anti-codon position.
Source: RNAcentral